This 230-nucleotide unclassified non-coding RNA is filed under the name rhizosphere metagenome. Its description in RNAcentral is "partial ribosomal RNA internal transcribed spacer region". The record is from RNAcentral.
GUUGGUGAACCAGCGGAGGGAUCAUUACAGAGUUGAAAAACUCCCAAACCAUUGUGAACCUACCAAUCAUCGUUGCUUCGGCGGGCGGCGCCGGGGGGCAUCGUCCCCCCGGGAGCCAACGCCCUUGCGGGCGCCCGCCGGAGGUACUUAACCCUGACCUAUUGUAUGGCCUCUCUGAGUCUUCUGUACUGAAUAAGUCAAAACUUUCAACAACGGAUCUCUUGGUUCUG